Molecule: ribosomal RNA, 906 nt
Filed under: Helicosporium gracile
Lineage: Eukaryota; Fungi; Ascomycota; Dothideomycetes; Tubeufiales; Tubeufiaceae
Description: LSU rRNA
Rfam family: Eukaryotic large subunit ribosomal RNA
Source: RNAcentral
GCAUACAAUAAGCGGAGGAAAAGAAACCAACAGGGAUUGCCUCAGUAACGGCGAGUGAAGCGGCAAUAGCUCAAAUUUGAAAUCUGGCCGUUUCACGGUCCGAGUUGUAAUUUGUAGAGGAUGCUUCGGCUUCGGCCCCGGUCUAAGUUCCUUGGAACAGGACGUCACAGAGGGUGAGAAUCCCGUUUGUGGCCGGCGGCCCCCGCCAUGUGAAGCUCCUUCGACGAGUCGAGUUGUUUGGGAAUGCAGCUCUAAAUGGGAGGUAAAUUUCUUCUAAAGCUAAAUACCGGCCAGAGACCGAUAGCGCACAAGUAGAGUGAUCGAAAGAUGAAAAGCACUUUGGAAAGAGAGUUAAAAAGUACGUGAAAUUGUUGAAAGGGAAGCGCUUGCGACCAGACUUGCCCGCGGAUGCUCAACCGGUCCUCCGGCCGGUGCACUCUUCCGCGGUCAGGCCAGCAUCAGUUCGGGCGGUCGGAUAAAGGCCUCGGGAAUGUAUCUCUCUUCGGGGAGUGUUAUAGCCCUUGGUGCAAUACGGCCCGCCUGGACUGAGGCCCGCGCUUCGUGCUAGGAUGCUGGCGUAAUGGUCGUAAGCGGCCCGUCUUGAAACACGGACCAAGGAGUCUAACAUCUAUGCGAGUGUUUGGGUGUCAAACCCGUGCGCGAAAUGAAAGUGAACGGAGGUGGGAACCUUAGGGUGCACCAUCGACCGAUCCUGAUGUCUUCGGAUGGAUUUGAGUAAGAGCAUAGCUGUUGGGACCCGAAAGAUGGUGAACUAUGCCUGAAUAGGGUGAAGCCAGAGGAAACUCUGGUGGAGGCUCGCAGCGGUUCUGACGUGCAAAUCGAUCGUCAAAUUUGGGUAUAGGGGGCGAAAGACUAAUCGAACCAUCUAGUAGCUGGGUCCUGCGA